UAGGGAAUCUUCGGCAAUUGACGAAAGUCUGACCGAGCAACGCCGCGUGAGUGAAGAAGGUUUUCGGAUCGUAAAACUCUGUUGCUAGAGAAGAACAAGGACGUUAGUAACUGAACGUCCCCUGACGGUAUCUAACCAGAAAGCCACGGCUAACUACGUGCCAGCAGCCGCGGUAAUACGUAGGUGGCAAGCGUUGUCCGGAUUUAUUGGGCGUAAAGCGAGCGCAGGCGGUUUCUUAAGUCUGAUGUGAAAGCCCCCGGCUCAACCGGGGAGGGUCAUUGGAAACUGGGAGACUUGAGUGCAGAAGAGGAGAGUGGAAUUCCAUGUGUAGCGGUGAAAUGCGUAGAUAUAUGGAGGAACACCAGUGGCGAAGGCGGCUCUCUGGUCUGUAACUGACGCUGAGGCUCGAAAGCGUGGGGAGCAAACAGG
This 429-nucleotide ribosomal RNA is filed under the name Gemmatimonadota bacterium. RNAcentral describes it as "Gemmatimonadetes bacterium partial 16S ribosomal RNA". It matches the Rfam family "Bacterial small subunit ribosomal RNA", at positions 355 to 776 of the family's 1533-position model. The record is from RNAcentral. Lineage: Bacteria; Pseudomonadati; Gemmatimonadota.